UUUUGAUGAUCCUUCCUUGGUCCAUUUUCUGCCCAAUACCAUGCACAACAAACACAAUGUGACUAGUUUGUGGUGGCUUGUCUUCCAAGGUAGCUUCUUCUACAUAGCCUCUAUGUAGCCUUGUCCCACUACUUGAAGCUUUGGAAAACCCCAACUUUUGUGUAACAGUUCUUGCAAUUUUAGAUGUUGUUGCAUCACUGUACAGAUACACUUCAUCCACACUGUGCCAGUCCACAUGGUUGCGACUCAACUUUAGACUAUGAAUAGCUUCCUUUCCAUCAACAGGUUUUGAUACUUCCAUAUCAAAGCUCUCUUGCAUCUGCUGGCCCCG
This 331-nucleotide long non-coding RNA is filed under the name Gallus gallus (chicken). Lineage: Eukaryota; Metazoa; Chordata; Aves; Galliformes; Phasianidae. The record is from RNAcentral.